RNAcentral lists this transfer RNA (65 nucleotides) under Microcosmus sulcatus. RNAcentral's name for it is "transfer RNA-Thr". Lineage: Eukaryota; Metazoa; Chordata; Ascidiacea; Stolidobranchia; Pyuridae. The record is from RNAcentral.
GAUUAUUUAGUUUAAGAGAAAAAUAAUAAUUUUGUAAGUUGUAGAUGAAUGUAGUUUAAUAAUCU